Molecule: ribosomal RNA, 620 nt
Filed under: Clostridioides difficile
Lineage: Bacteria; Bacillati; Bacillota; Clostridia; Peptostreptococcales; Peptostreptococcaceae
Description: partial 23S ribosomal RNA
Rfam family: Bacterial large subunit ribosomal RNA
Source: RNAcentral
GAAACUCACUUAGAGUAAUGUCUAAGUAUCAUUAAGUGAAUACAUAGCUUAAUGAGGGGAACUCAGGGAACUGAAACAUCUAAGUACCUGAAGGAAGAGAAAGAAAUUCGAUUCCGUAAGUAGCGGCGAGCGAACGCGGAUUAGCCCAAACCAAUAAAGUUUUCUUUAUUGGGGUUGCGGACAUAUCAUAACGAAGAGGUAUCGUAAUUGAAGAGGUUUGGAAAGACCCACCACAGAAGGUAAUAGUCCUGUAUGUUAAACGAGAAGACUUCAGAUAUGAUCCAGAGUACCACGGGACACGUGAAACCCUGUGGGAAGCAGGAGGGACCACCCUCCAAGGCUAAAUACUACCUAGUGACCGAUAGCGUAUAGUACCGUGAGGGAAAGGUGAAAAGAACCCCGGGAGGGGAGUGAAAUAGAACCUGAAACCCUGCACUUACAAGCUGUGGAAGCACAUUUCUUGUGUGACCGCGUACUUUUUGUAGAACGGGCCAACGAGUUACGUUAAGUAGCAAGGUUAAGCACUUAAGGUGUGGAGCCGUAGCGAAAGCGAGUUUUAACUGAGCGUUCAGUUACUUGACGUAGACCCGAAACCGGGCGACCUACCCAUGAGCAGGAUG